GAUAAACGCUGGCGGCGUGCCUAAUACAUGCAAGUCGAGCGAACGGACGAGAAGCUUGCUUCUCUGAUGUUAGCGGCGGACGGGUGAGUAACACGUGGAUAACCUACCUAUAAGACUGGGAUAACUUCGGGAAACCGGAGCUAAUACCGGAUAAUAUUUUGAGCCGCAUGGUUCAAAAGUGAAAGACGGUCUUGCUGUCACUUAUAGAUGGAUCCGCGCUGCAUUAGCUAGUUGGUAAGGUAACGGCUUACCAAGGCAACGAUGCAUAGCCGACCUGAGAGGGUGAUCGGCCACACUGGAACUGAGACACGGUCCAGACUCCUACGGGAGGCAGCAGUAGGGAAUCUUCCGCAAUGGGCGAAAGCCUGACGGAGCAACGCCGCGUGAGUGAUGAAGGUCUUCGGAUCGUAAAACUCUGUUAUUAGGGAAGAACAUAUGUGUAAGUAACUGUGCACAUCUUGACGGUACCUAAUCAGAAAGCCACGGCUAACUACGUGCCAGCAGCCGCGGUAAUACGUAGGUGGCAAGCGUUAUCCGGAAUUAUUGGGCGUAAAGCGCGCGUAGGCGGUUUUUUAAGUCUGAUGUGAAAGCCCACGGCUCAACCGUGGAGGGUCAUUGGAAACUGGAAAACUUGAGUGCAGAAGAGGAAAGUGGAAUUCCAUGUGUAGCGGUGAAAUGCGCAGAGAUGUGGAGGAACACCAGUGGCGAAGGCGACUUUCUGGUCUGUAACUGACGCUGAUGUGCGAAAGCGUGGGGAUCAAACAGGAUUAGAUACCCUGGUAGUCCACGCCGUAAACGAUGAGUGCUAAGUGUUAGGGGGUUUCCGCCCCUUAGUGCUGCAGCUAACGCAUUAAGCACUCCGCCUGGGGAGUACGACCGCAAGGUUGAAACUCAAAGGAAUUGACGGGGACCCGCACAAGCGGUGGAGCAUGUGGUUUAAUUCGAAGCAACGCGAAGAACCUUACCAAAUCUUGACAUCCUUUGACAACUCUAGAGAUAGAGCCUUCCCCUUCGGGGGACAAAGUGACAGGUGGUGCAUGGUUGUCGUCAGCUCGUGUCGUGAGAUGUUGGGUUAAGUCCCGCAACGAGCGCAACCCUUAAGCUUAGUUGCCAUCAUUAAGUUGGGCACUCUAAGUUGACUGCCGGUGACAAACCGGAGGAAGGUGGGGAUGACGUCAAAUCAUCAUGCCCCUUAUGAUUUGGGCUACACACGUGCUACAAUGGACAAUACAAAGGGCAGCGAAACCGCGAGGUCAAGCAAAUCCCAUAAAGUUGUUCUCAGUUCGGAUUGUAGUCUGCAACUCGACUACAUGAAGCUGGAAUCGCUAGUAAUCGUAGAUCAGCAUGCUACGGUGAAUACGUUCCCGGGUCU
Molecule: ribosomal RNA, 1372 nt
Filed under: uncultured bacterium
Lineage: Bacteria
Description: bacterial SSU rRNA
Rfam family: Bacterial small subunit ribosomal RNA
Source: RNAcentral